UAUUGGACAAUGGGGGCAACCCUGAUCCAGCAAUGCCGCGUGUGUGAAGAAGGCCUGAGGGUUGUAAAGCACUUUCAGUGGGGAGGAGGUCUUGUUGGUUAAGAGCUAGUGAGAUGGACGUUACCCACAGAAGAAGCACCGGCUAACUCCGUGCCAGCAGCCGCGGUAAUACGGAGGGUGCAAGCGUUAAUCGGAAUUACUGGGCGUAAAGGGUGCGUAGGUCGUUGAAUAAGUUAUCUGUGAAAUCCCCGGGCUUAACCUGGGCAGGUCAGAUAAGACUGUUUGACUCGAGUAUGGGAGAGGGUAGUGGAAUUUCCGGUGUAGCGGUGAAAUGCGUAGUGAUCGGAAGGAACACCAGUGGCGAAGGCGGCUACCUGGCCUGUUACUGACACUGAAGCACGAAA
This 404-nucleotide ribosomal RNA is filed under the name uncultured bacterium. RNAcentral describes it as "bacterial SSU rRNA". It matches the Rfam family "Bacterial small subunit ribosomal RNA", at positions 362 to 758 of the family's 1533-position model. The record is from RNAcentral.